Molecule: RNA transcript, 3984 nt
Organism: Trachemys scripta elegans
Lineage: Eukaryota; Metazoa; Chordata; Testudines; Emydidae
Gene: ZNF740
Gene name: zinc finger protein 740
Exons: 8
Source: RefSeq, a predicted model, not a curated record
GACGUGACCCCUGUGCCAAGCGCUUCCGGUUCCGGGGUAGCGGCGGCGGCCGAGAGGGUUCGGGCCGCUGUUUGUAAACUUGUCUCCCGGGGGAGAGCGCGGAGGCAACGGCGGAGCCCGGAGUCCGCAGCGGCCGAGCCAGGCUCCGACUAAACCAGAGAAGUGUCUGCAGCGAUAUCGAGGCACAGAGAUCAACUCCCUUUAUCCAGGAUCCAUCCAGAAGCAGGGCUAGGCUUGGGAUGACUCCUCUGUAAAAGCGGUGCAGUCAGUUACCUUCCCAUCUAGCUUCUCCAGCUCUCGGCAGUGCUUGGGGAAGACGCCCUUAGAACGCCACACACAAUUCCAGACUCUCAGAAUCCAGAAAGAUGUCGGCAAAGUGGAGGGUACUGGACAAGACCAGCAAAAAAUGAUUAACUGAAAAAAAAAAAAAAAAAAAUCUUUCUAAUCGUAAAAUUCUUUCCCGGGAGAGAAUUAAGGCUAAAGAAUUGUUACAAUCCGUUUGUUGAGGACAGACAGACAAGAUGGCUCAGGCGAGUCUCCUGGCCUGCGAGGGCCUCUCUGGGGUGUGCCUCGUGCCAACUGUUGCCAGCAAGAAGAUGAUGCCAAAACAGAGCUCCAAGCAGACAGAGAAUGGAGAGAGAGGGAACAGUCCGAACAUGCUGAGUCACCGCCAGGAGAGCGAGAAAUCUCGCAGCCGUAAAGAGGAAGAGCCGGCAGAAGCAUCACAGCCAAAAAAGACCAUUAAAAAGGUGAUGGUGAUUGAGCAGAACGGCUCCUUCCAGCUGAGAAUCCCCAAGAACUUUAUUUGUGAGCAUUGCUACGGAGCCUUUCGGAGCAGCUACCAUCUCAAGAGACACAUCCUCAUCCAUACUGCCCCUUCUGCUCUUCCCCAGGUGAGAAGCCGUUCGAGUGCGAUCUGUGUGACAUGCGCUUCAUCCAGAAGUACCACCUGGAGCGCCACAAGCGCGUGCACAGCGGCGAAAAGCCCUACCAGUGCGAGCGCUGCAUGCAGAGCUUCUCCAGGACAGAUCGGCUGCUUAGACACAAACGAAUGUGCCAGGGCUGCCAGACCAAAACCCCUGACUCGCAGCUGCUGCUUUAGGAGCCAGGGCGAUGCGUCGGAGAAGCUAGGACGUGGACAGGAUUUUCAGUUUUCUGUGUCUAGUUUUGCCUGCUCCUGCGCCCCCGGCCAAGGGGGGACAGAGCUGAGGACUCUCCUAGACUCUCAGAUGGGGUCCUGACACUGUAAAUAAGAUGAGGAUGAUCCGGAAUCUCUACUCAACCAGCAGAAGCCACGGGCAGCUGUGUAUAAACCUUCUUUUCCAUUGGUUUGUUUUUGAAGUAUCACCAUUUGCCUCUCAGGAAAGGCUUCGGGGGACAACAGGGCAAAGCUAGCUACACUCACCUCAAACUCUUAACACUUGCCAUCACCUGAUCGACCAGCUCCCGCCCAGGUAGAGCUCACAGAGAGAAGUAUGAAGUUUUACUAUUGGAACACGAAUCUUCUGUGUAAAACUGCUGACGGUGGAUCCUGGGGCGUUGGCUGUGACGUGAACAUUGGUUGGCAGCCUGUUACAAUCUGGCAGUACUUCUGCCCAGCACAAGGGGGCAGUACAAGCUAUCCUGUAGGACUACUGGCAAAAGGGGUGUUGGCAAACGGUUGGUUCGGUUAAACCAGAGGCUGGUUUAGAGGACAAACUAACUCACUCUCGGUUUUGAACUUUCAUAGCAGAUGGAACACCUGUGGUCUGGAGCAGAGACCCCUAAAUUAUGGGUGGGAACCUCGCUGCUCAGAACAUCUGAGGGCCUGAAGCUGCCUGGGUUCAGUGCUGCAGAGUUUUGAUGCGUGUGUGAUCUGUGUGGCUGGGGUUUUUUCUCAAAAGCUGUUUUUUUGGCCUGGUGGUGAGGCACUACUGCAGAGCUGCUGGUGUCACUGCUGCUACAGACAGUCCUUUUCCUUGAGUAGCUGAUGCGUGCACACCGUGUGCUAUACAAAGGAUUCAUCUGUCUAGCUGACGCUGCAGGUUGCCUGUAGCUGCAGCUGUCUUGAAGCCUGAAAGUCAAAUUGUUUGCAGCUGGUGCUGCCUUUUUCUAAACCAUCUUGGCAGAGGUAUUUUGAUUCCCGGUAAAACGUACAAGUCUGGGGCUAAGAGGCUUAUUGGAUUCACAUACGGCUCGUGCUCUGCAAACCCCCUCAGCUGAUGCAUGGGAAAAGUGUUCAAUUUUAUAUCUAGAAAUUAGUGACUUACGAUGAUUUGAACAUUUUUUUUAUUUUUAAAUGCUCUUAUGUAACCUGUCAUGACAUUCCAAAGUGAAUUAAGAUGAAUCGAAUUAAGACCGCUUGAAUUCUGAAUAAGAGCAUUCACACAGGGAUUUAAUGCAGUUUAACUAAUUUGCUAUAAAUUCACACCUUUAAUGGGGAUUCAUUUUCCUUAGUGUCCCCUUAUACACAAGCCCUUGAGGAGCUAUACCCAGGGAUAAAGAGUAAUAUUGACGGAGAUGUUUCAGGACUCUGAGUUUAUUCUUCUGCCUAGCUGGUUUGCAGCCGAAAUCACAUGAGAAAGGUGGGGGCAGUGAAACUGACAAGGAACACAACUGAAACUGACUAGAAACAAGUUUCCCUGUCUGAGCUGGGUGCAAAAGGGCAAUCUGGCUAGCACCAGCGCUCCAAAAUACAUCUACUGAAAAUGUGUCAGUUCUAGUAAUACACGCAGGACGAUGUUUAAAAUUGGCUUUUAACUUGCUGUAGCAAAGAGGUGCGUCAGCACCUCAUCUGUGCUGGGGAGUGUAAGUUAAAACAAUACAACCCUCCAGUGUAAAGAUGUUAUUCUGGUGCAAUUAGGGGCUUUCCCUGCUUUCAAGCUAGGGUAAACCAUGCUCUUGCAGGCCCCUUACUGUCACGGCAUGGCUGCACCAGUGUGAAUGCACCACUGUAAUGCAGCUAUCCCCAGCCCCUCCAUGGCUGAAAAGCAGAUGAGUAGCGGCGUCAGGCUGGCUGGUUCUCUGGAGUGGGGUGCAAAUGGGCACUUCGUUUCCUUGUGCACCCAUGUAAAACUAAUUUUUCCUGUAGCCUCCGUAUCCACAUGAGCCCACGUCUGGUGGGGGGGAAGGGGACAGUGUCUGACUGUGUGUUUCAGAGAUGGGACCCUGCUCUCUAGUGUGCAUGUAUAACAAGCUCACCAGACUCCGGUCUGAUUUGUGCUCAGCUGUCUUCUCAGGUGAGGCCUGGAACGGCCCAGGGAAGAGGCUAGCUGUAGCGCUGUAUUAAUGUGCAUCAUUAGACCUUGAUCAUGCCAUUUCCCAGCUCCAGCCAGGAUAAUUUCCUUUCCCACUUUGUGAGCAUUAAAAAUCAUCCAGCCAGAAAACCACAUGCCAGAAUACACCCCUUGCUGCAGCCGGGCAUGAGCCCCUGAAGGCCAGGGAUUGGAAACCAUGCUGCCGGCUAAGUGUGAGAGAUUAUACGUGUGCACACCUGCCUGCCCUUGAGUCAAGGAGUCUGUGAACAAGAGGGGGAUGGCUGCCCAGGUGCCCUUCACAGGCAGAACGAACUCAGUCACACUGUGGCGUGACAUUGAUCCCUGAAGGUAGGCGGGAAGUGGCCCCCUGUUGUCCCAGAACUACUGUUUUGACAGAUGGACCAAGAACUCUCCUGUGUUAGUGAAUCCGAGCUGAGUGAUAUCUGGAAAGUCCCAUGGCUUAUUUGUCUUUUUUUUUUUUUUUUUUUUUUAAAUAUACUUAUUUUGCGAUUGGGGGUGGGGGGAGCGUGUGUUACUGAGGAGAUAAAUGAGAAUCACUUUUAAACUGUAGUUUUUAUAAGAUGUUAUAAACUUGUAUCUUUUUACCAUUAGUGUGGUGUCUGUUCCUUUGUGACCUAUUUAGAGUAUUUAAAUAAAAUCUUGUGGUUUUUUUCUUUUCUAAACUCUACUCUGCUUCUUAUCUUAGUUCACUCUAGGGUCUCGGAUCCUGGCCUGAACAGCAGUGCAG